RNAcentral lists this ribosomal RNA (557 nucleotides) under uncultured Rhizobium sp. Its description in RNAcentral is "bacterial SSU rRNA". It matches the Rfam family "Bacterial small subunit ribosomal RNA", at positions 102 to 694 of the family's 1533-position model. Lineage: Bacteria; Pseudomonadati; Pseudomonadota; Alphaproteobacteria; Hyphomicrobiales; Rhizobiaceae. The record is from RNAcentral.
ACGGGUGAGUAACGCGUGGGAAUCUACCGUGCCCUGCGGAAUAGCUCCGGGAAACUGGAAUUAAUACCGCAUACGCCCUACGGGGGAAAGAUUUAUCGGGGUAUGAUGAGCCCGCGUUGGAUUAGCUAGUUGGUGGGGUAAAGGCCUACCAAGGCGACGAUCCAUAGCUGGUCUGAGAGGAUGAUCAGCCACAUUGGGACUGAGACACGGCCCAAACUCCUACGGGAGGCAGCAGUGGGGAAUAUUGGACAAUGGGCGCAAGCCUGAUCCAGCCAUGCCGCGUGAGUGAUGAAGGCCUUAGGGUUGUAAAGCUCUUUCACCGGAGAAGAUAAUGACGGUAUCCGGAGAAGAAGCCCCGGCUAACUUCGUGCCAGCAGCCGCGGUAAUACGAAGGGGGCUAGCGUUGUUCGGAAUUACUGGGCGUAAAGCGCACGUAGGCGGAUAUUUAAGUCAGGGGUGAAACCCCAGAGCUCAACUCUGGAACUGCCUUUGAUACUGGGUAUCUUGAGUAUGGAAGAGGUAAGUGGAAUUCCGAGUGUAGAGGUGAAAUUCGUAGA